Triticum urartu is the source of this 135-nucleotide non-coding RNA. Lineage: Eukaryota; Viridiplantae; Streptophyta; Magnoliopsida; Poales; Poaceae. The record is from Rfam.
CAUGUACUCCCUCCGUCCCAAAAUUCUUGUCUUAGAUUUGUCUAAAUAUGGAUGUAUCAAGUCACGUUUUAGUAUUAGAUACAUCCGUAUCUAGGCAAAUUUAAGACAAGAAUUUUGGGACGGAGGAAGUAUAAG